AAUAAGCGGAGGAAAAGAAACCAACAGGGAUUGCCCUAGUAACGGCGAGUGAAGCGGCAACAGCUCAAAUUUGAAAUCUGGCGCAAGCCCGAGUUGUAAUUUGUAGAGGAUGCUUCUAGGUAGCGACCGGUCUAAGUUCCUUGGAACAGGACGUCAUAGAGGGUGAGAAUCCCGUAUGUGACCGGCCCGCACCUUCUACGUAGCUCCUUCGACGAGUCGAGUUGUUUGGGAAUGCAGCUCUAAAUGGGAGGUAAAUUUCUUCUAAAGCUAAAUACCGGCCAGAGACCGAUAGCGCACAAGUAGAGUGAUCGAAAGAUGAAAAGCACUUUGGAAAGAGAGUUAAAAAGCACGUGAAAUUGUUGAAAGGGAAGCGCUCACAACCAGACUUCUGGGCGGUGUUCCGCCGGUCUUCUGACCGGUCUACUCGCCGUCCCGAGGCCAACAUCAUCUGGGACCGCUGGAUAAGACCUCAGGAAUGUAGCUUCCCUCGGGAAGUGUUAUAGCCUGUGGUGAUGCAGCGCGUCUCGGGUGAGGUCCGCGCUUCGGCAAGGAUGUUGGCGUAAUGGUUGUCAGCGGCCCGUCUUGAAACACGGACCAAGGAGUCUAACAUCUAUGCGAGUGUUCGGGUGUCAAACCCCUACGCGUAAUGAAAGUGAACGGAGGUGGGAAGCGUAAGCUGCACCAUCGACCGAUCCUGAUGUCCUCGGAUGGAUUUGAGUAAGAGCAUAGCUGUUGGGACCCGAAAGAUGGUGAACUAUGCCUGAAUAGGGUGAAGCCAGAGGAAACUCUGGUGGAGGCUCGCAGCGGUUCUGACGUGCAAAUCGAUCGUCAAAUUUGGGUAUAGGGGCGAAA
This 852-nucleotide ribosomal RNA is filed under the name Ramularia cynarae. Its description in RNAcentral is "eukaryotic LSU rRNA". It matches the Rfam family "Eukaryotic large subunit ribosomal RNA", at positions 45 to 928 of the family's 3401-position model. The record is from RNAcentral. Lineage: Eukaryota; Fungi; Ascomycota; Dothideomycetes; Mycosphaerellales; Mycosphaerellaceae.